GACGAACGCUGGCGGCGUGCUUAACACAUGCAAGUCGAACGGAAAGGCCCUACUUUUGUGGGGUUCUCGAUUGGCGAUCGCGUGAUUGACACGUGAGUAACCUGCCCUUGUCUUUGGGUUGACUUCACUUAGCUGAGGCUAAUACCAGAUCGUAGCUCCUGCUGCAUGGUGGGGGUUGGAACGUCUCGGCGGGCGGGGAUGGACUCGCGGCUUAUGAGCUUGUUAGUGGGGUAGUGGCUUACCAAGCCUUUGACGGGUAGCCGGCAUGAGAGUGUGACCGGGAACAAUGGGACUGAGAGACGGCCCAGACGGGUACGGGAGGCAGCGGUGGGGAAUAUUGCACAAUGGGAGGAAGCCUGAUGCAGAAACGCCGCGUGCGGGAAGACGGCAUGCGGGGUGUGAACAGCUGUAGCCUGUGACGAAGCGGGAGUGACGGUAAUGGGUAAAGAAGCACCGGCUAACUACGUG
RNAcentral lists this ribosomal RNA (468 nucleotides) under uncultured bacterium. Its description in RNAcentral is "partial 16S ribosomal RNA". It matches the Rfam family "Bacterial small subunit ribosomal RNA", at positions 28 to 507 of the family's 1533-position model. The record is from RNAcentral.